This 253-nucleotide ribosomal RNA is filed under the name uncultured bacterium. RNAcentral's name for it is "partial 16S ribosomal RNA". It matches the Rfam family "Bacterial small subunit ribosomal RNA", at positions 524 to 776 of the family's 1533-position model. The record is from RNAcentral.
UACGAAGGGUGCAAGCGUUACUCGGAAUUACUGGGCGUAAAGCGUGCGUAGGUGGUGGUUUAAGUCCGUUGUGAAAGCCCUGGGCUCAACCUGGGAAUUGCAGUGGAUACUGGGUCACUAGAGUGUGGUAGAGGGUAGCGGAAUUCCCGGUGUAGCAGUGAAAUGCGUAGAGAUCGGGAGGAACAUCUGUGGCGAAGGCGGCUACCUGGACCAACACUGACACUGAGGCACGAAAGCGUGGGGAGCGAACAGG